This 263-nucleotide ribosomal RNA is filed under the name uncultured Faecalibacterium sp. RNAcentral describes it as "partial 16S ribosomal RNA". It matches the Rfam family "Bacterial small subunit ribosomal RNA", at positions 72 to 339 of the family's 1533-position model. Lineage: Bacteria; Bacillati; Bacillota; Clostridia; Eubacteriales; Oscillospiraceae. The record is from RNAcentral.
CUUGCUUUCUCGAGCGAGUGGCGAACGGGUGAGUAACGCGUGAGGAACCUGCCUCAAAGAGGGGGACAACAGUUGGAAACGACUGCUAAUACCGCAUAAGCCCACAGCUCGGCAUCGAGCAGAGGGAAAAGGAGCAAUCCGCUUUGAGAUGGCCUCGCGUCCGAUUAGCUAGUUGGUGAGGUAACGGCCCACCAAGGCGACGAUGCAUAGCCGGACUGAGAGGUUGACCGGCCACAUUGGGACUGAGAUACGGCCCAGACUCC